This 145-nucleotide small nuclear RNA is filed under the name Zea mays. Its description in RNAcentral is "U2 spliceosomal RNA". It matches the Rfam family "U2 spliceosomal RNA". Rfam says of the family: U2 is a small nuclear RNA (snRNA) component of the spliceosome (involved in pre-mRNA splicing). Complementary binding between U2 snRNA (in an area lying towards the 5' end but 3' to hairpin I) and the branchpoint sequence (BPS) of the intron results the bulging out of an unpaired adenosine, on the BPS, which initiates a nucleophilic attack at the intronic 5' splice site, thus starting the first of two transesterification reactions that mediate splicing. Lineage: Eukaryota; Viridiplantae; Streptophyta; Magnoliopsida; Poales; Poaceae. The record is from Rfam by way of RNAcentral.
AUACCCUUUUGGCCUUUUGGCUAAGGUAAGGUGUAAUAUUUGUUAUUCUCAGUUUAAUAUAUGAUAUGUGGACCAUAUGUUCACUCUGAUAUUAAAUUUAUUUUUUUAUGAGUAUUAAAUAUGAUUGUGUGCCGUCGCAACGUAC